Molecule: unclassified non-coding RNA, 414 nt
Filed under: fungal sp.
Lineage: Eukaryota; Fungi
Description: partial internal transcribed spacer region
Rfam family: Eukaryotic small subunit ribosomal RNA (bases 1-46)
Source: RNAcentral
AAGUCGUAACAAGGUUACCGUUGGUGAACCAGCGGUAGGAUCAUUACCACAAAAAAUACCUUAUACAAAACAACCCCGCAAAGCGAAAAAUAAUUUUUGGUUUUUCUAACAGAAAAUCAAACGCUGUUUUUUUAGCUUUUUGUGAACAUAUAGACCCCGUUCUGUAUCUUUGAAAAAAGAUGCGAAUGGACAACCCACCUCGAGUUUUGCCUUGGGUUUUUUUAUUAUUAAGAAAUCCAAGGCAACGUGGGUAAUUUAAACCUUUUAAACCACAUUAAAAACCCUUUUUUUUUCUGAAAAACAACCAAUUGAAAUGAAUAAAAAAAAGCCUUAAAAACUUUCUUUUUGCAAACCUCUAUUGGCACACAAAACAAAAACAAAAAACAACUUUUAACGGUGGAUCUCUAGGCUCGU